Molecule: ribosomal RNA, 516 nt
Filed under: uncultured bacterium
Lineage: Bacteria
Description: bacterial SSU rRNA
Rfam family: Bacterial small subunit ribosomal RNA
Source: RNAcentral
GAGUUUGAUCCUGGCUCAGAUUGAACGCUGGCGGCAGGCCUAACACAUGCAAGUCGAACGGUAACAGGAAGAAGCUUGCUUCUUUGCUGACGAGUGGCGGACGGGUGAGUAAUGUCUGGGAAACUGCCUGAUGGAGGGGGAUAACUACUGGAAACGGUAGCUAAUACCGCAUAACGUCGCAAGACCAAAGAGGGGGACCUUCGGGCCUCUUGCCAUCGGAUGUGCCCAGAUGGGAUUAGCUAGUAGGUGGGGUAACGGCUCACCUAGGCGACGAUCCCUAGCUGGUCUGAGAGGAUGACCAGCCACACUGGAACUGAGACACGGUCCAGACUCCUACGGGAGGCAGCAGUGGGGAAUAUUGCACAAUGGGCGCAAGCCUGAUGCAGCCAUGCCGCGUGUAUGAAGAAGGCCUUCGGGUUGUAAAGUACUUUCAGCGGGGAGGAAGGGAGUAAAGUUAAUACCUUUGCUCAUUGACGUUAUCCGCAGAAGAAGCACCGGCUAACUCCGUGCCAGCAG